Oryza brachyantha (malo sina) is the source of this 1353-nucleotide long non-coding RNA. RefSeq lists it as uncharacterized. The record is from RefSeq and is a predicted model, not a curated record. The transcript has 8 exons. NCBI's taxonomy places the organism in Eukaryota, Viridiplantae, Streptophyta, Magnoliopsida, Poales, Poaceae.
CUGCCGCUCGGCCGCUCGCGGUCGCGCCCUCUGCGGCUCGCACCUCCUCGUCGCCGGCAUUCAGCGGCUCGUUUUCCUCCUUCCUUCCGUAGAUUUGGAUACGAUACCUGCAUUCUCAGUAACUGAAGUGAGAGGUUCUUCAUGGACUUGGUAAAACAGUUAUGACUAACUGGAAUCAGAGGUUCUUGUCAGUGGGUUCAUCAGUGGAGUGUGAAACUGAAGACCAGUGAGUAGAAAGAAAUAUGAAACUUAAGUCCAUCAAGAAGGAAGGAAGGAAUGCAUGAUGACAAGUGAGCAACUCACUGUGUGCAUACUACACAGCUAGUUUUAGCAGUUUGAGAAGCAUGGUACAGAUGGAGGCAUUUGUCACCAGGUAAGAUGAAGCGGGCAAGAUGACCAAAUGUAAACCGAGGGAAUAAUAUCUUCUCACUCACAUUUAAUGCCUGCAGAAAAGGAGAUCUGAAAAAAAAAUAAAGUCAAGAGACGCCAACGCCAGUGGCAUCUCUGUGGUGGAGAAAGAGCAUCCUAGGAGUCUGACGCCCAUGCUAUGGGCCAAAAAGGUCGAGCACUUUUCCGGACAUCAAACGGAGCGCCCAUGCUGGGAGCAAUGCCUCCGCCACCUUCAAAGGGACCGAAGAACUGAACCUGCAGUGAACUUAACUGUGAGUAAGAAUUCAGUGGUAGUAGCUUUCUAGUGCAUCUGCUGCUGCAGGUUUGGAGCAGAUUUCGAGUCACCGACAGCAACGACAGGGCCAGUUGGUGCAUUAUAAUACUUCUCUGUGAUCUUUGGAGAUCUAAGGCGUAUCUGCGGACGAGCCUAAAAAGCUUUCUUAAGAGGCCUCCUCAAAUUAUAAAGUCCCCUCAGGUCGAUAGCGGCCAGCACAAAAGGUCAGGGCAGAGGGAGGGAGGCUACAGGGGGCAAUGUGGCGCCCUGUUUGUUGGGGGUGGGGCCUCCCCGGCCGGGCUAAGCUAGGCUAUGCGGCCUCCCGGAUGUGGCAACUAGAUCUGCACAUUUCCAUGCGACAGCUAGCGUUACUCUCGCUCGCCUACGCCUCCCACUUUCUACGUACCCCUCUUGAGGGCCACAUCUCCACUCCUUGUUUUUUUAUCCUAAAAUGAUUUUAUCUUUUAUCAGUUUUGUUUAUCUCAUGAAAAAAUUAUUUCUAGUGUCAUUAUGCUGAAGUCUGAUAGAGUGUAAGUCCAUUGGAUUUAAAAAGUAAAUAAUAUUUUAGUCGUCUGAUUAUUGAUAUAUGUAAGAUAUGGAAAAUUUGAUGUUUUCUUUUUUGGACUUAGCAGUAUUGAGAUAGGGGUGUAUAUGAACCAUAUUUUAACCGGAGGGUGUAUAUCGUUGAC